Molecule: transfer RNA, 48 nt
Filed under: Stenocranius gregalis (narrow-headed vole)
Lineage: Eukaryota; Metazoa; Chordata; Mammalia; Rodentia; Cricetidae
Description: partial tRNA-Ser
Source: RNAcentral
GUGYUGGCUUGAAACCAGUUUUAGGGGGUUCGAAUCCUUCCUUUCUUA